Molecule: ribosomal RNA, 499 nt
Filed under: uncultured soil bacterium
Lineage: Bacteria
Description: bacterial SSU rRNA
Rfam family: Bacterial small subunit ribosomal RNA
Source: RNAcentral
AGAUUGAACGCUGGCGGAAUGCUUUACACAUGCAAGUCGAACGGCAGCACGGGGGGCAACCCUGGUGGCGAGUGGCGAACGGGUGAGUAAUACAUCGGAACGUGCCCAGUCGUGGGGGAUAACUACGCGAAAGCGUAGCUAAUACCGCAUACGAACUCUGGUUGAAAGCGGGGGAUCGCAAGACCUCGCGCGAUUGGAGCGGCCGAUGGGCAGAUUAGGGUAGUUGGUGGGGUAAAGGCUCACCAAGCCGACGAUCUGUAGCUGGUCUGAGAGGACGACCAGCCACACUGGGACUGAGACACGGCCCAGACUCCUACGGGAGGCAGCAGUGGGAAUUUGGACAAUGGGCGCAAGCCUGAUCCAGCCAUUCGCGUGCAGGAUGAAGGCCCUCGGUUGUAAACUGCUUUUGUACGGAACGAACGCGCUGAGUUAAUACCUCGGCGUAAUGACGUACCGUAAGAAUAAGCACCGCUAACUACGUGCCAGCAGCCGCGGUAAU